This is a long non-coding RNA of Cavia porcellus (domestic guinea pig), 8813 nucleotides long. RefSeq lists it as uncharacterized. Lineage: Eukaryota; Metazoa; Chordata; Mammalia; Rodentia; Caviidae. The transcript has 3 exons. The record is from RefSeq and is a predicted model, not a curated record.
UUCUGCUCACCUGCCACUCCCCGUGCCUCACUGUCAAGUCCUGUUCCUCUUGAACACUAACAUACGUAGUGCAUUCUCUUGUUUCGGUUUUUGUUAUCUUCCCCUGCAACCCCAGAUAUCACCACAGAAAAGGCUGGUGGUGGACAGAAUCACAGGUGCCUUUGGUUCAGGCAGAUUUCUCCACUGCGAAAGGAAAGAGACAAGGUUGCAGCCCCAUCUUUAGGGAAGGCAGACAAAGAAAUCAAAACUACGGAAACCAGGCUCUCCAGACAGCAGGCAAGACUAAAGAGUAGGAGCUGGGAGAUACUACAGACAAAUCAGAAUGGCCAGCUGCAUCAGAGGACACGGAUCCAAGGACUGCAGUGGUCCCAGCGGGGAGAACAGGAGCAGGAAUGGCUGACACACAGUAAUGUCUGCUAAUGACCAGAAUUAAUGGAGACAUAAAAUACUUCUAUGAAAAAAUAACAACUGAAGAACUUCAGGAUCAAAAAUCCAGCACUACAAAAAGCUCUGAAAAAUAGUGAACAAAGAGAAAAGGAACUCCACAAUACCAAGAUUACCAAGAAUACCAAUAGAGAGAAGCUGCUGGGAAGAGGAAGCAAUGAGACAUGGAGGAAAGACAGGAAAAAAACAACAGGAACAUUAAAUGACAAAGAAAAGCCAACAUAUGUAAACUAUACUAUGAUGUAAUAUAAAUAAUAUAAUAGAUCUCAAUUCACCAAUAAAAAGAAAUAGACUAGCAAAAUGGAUGAAGAAGAAAUGUGUGAAAAUAUGCUAUAUUCAAGUAAUACAUCUAACUCAAAAAGAAAUUCAUAGACUGAAAAUCAAAGUAUGAAAGACAACACUCUAUGUGACAAGAAGCCAGAAAAAAGCAGAGAUAGCUAACCUGUUUGCAGAUAAAAUGAACUGCAAGACAAGACUAAGCAAAAGAGACUAAAAAGAUCACUACAUAUUUGUUAAGGGAAAACUCUUAAGAAACAUAACAAUCAUCAGUAUAUAUACAACAAAUAGCGGAGUACUCACCUAUAUUAAGAAUAUUAACACACAUGAAAAAUCAAAUAAACACUAACAUAAUUGUUUUGGGAACCUUAAUACUUCAUUGUCAUCAUAGAUAGAUCAACUAGACAAAAAAUUAGCAACCAAAUAUCAGAACUGAUCCAAACCCAUGAAUAAACCAUCUUAAUAAACGUCUAUAGAGUAUUCCACCUCACAAAAUCAGAACACACAUUCUUCUCAGUAUCACAUGGAACAUUCUCCAAAAUAGACCAUACACCAGAUCAUAGAGUAUGCUUAAGUAAAUGCAAAAAUAUUGAAAUUAUUUCAUGCACAGUAUCAAGCCAUACUGCAAAGAAAUUGCAAAUCAGUGGCAAAAGAAACCACAAAAAGUCCAUAAAUACAUGAAAAUUAAAUAACGCGCUACUGAACAAUCAUUGGGACAGAUAAACUAAAGAAGAAACUGAACAAUGUCUACAACUAAAUGACAAUGCCAAGAUAACAUGCUAAAACAUAUGGGAUGUGAUAAAAGCAGUGCUAAGACAGAAAAAUUAAUAAUGGUGAAUUCUCACAGCUGCAAAACAGAAUCUGCUCAAAUAAACACCUAAUGUUGAACCUCAGACUUCUAGGAAAAGAAGAACAAAUCAAGCCCAACAUUCACAUAAGGGAGGAAAUUGUACAGCUCUGAGCAGAAAUUAAUGCAAUUGAGGCUAAGAAAAUAAUACACAAAAUAAAUUUAUCAGAGUUGAUUCUUUAAAAGAUUAAAUAAAAUUAACAAACCUUUAGGCAAUUUUAUCCAAAAAAGGAAAGGAAAGAGUCAGAUAAUUGCAAUUAUGAAUGAAAAAGGACAAAAUCUCAAUGUAUCCUGUGUAAAUCCAGAAGAUCAUUAAUACCUAUGUUAAGGAUCCUCAAUAAGAUAGAAAAUGAUGAAGAAAUGGUGUCUUGGUUACUUUUUACUGGUUGCUGAGACAAAAUACCUAAAGCCAAAGUUGGGAAAGGAAAGGUUUAUUUCUUACAGUUUUUGGAGGUUUCAGUCCAUGCUAAGUUGGCUCUAAGGCAGGGUGGCAUGGCUGGGCCACAGUUUGUGGCAGCUGCAAACAGCAAGCAGAAACUGGCAAAACAACAAGACACGCCUUUUUCCUGCCAUUACAUCACAUCCUGGCUCCACCCCUAUGUGAAUGCAGCACUGACACCAUCAAUCCAAGGCCAGACAAUGACCAAUCACAAAUGCAUAAGGCAAACACAUGAGGCCUGGGCGUCACCACAUAAACCAUGACAUUCCACCCCUGGCUCCCAGAACUCAUGUACAUCUUUUAUACAGAGGACAUUUAGUCCAUCUCCAAAAGUUGCCAACGUCCUAACAGUUUUAGCAUUACUGAGAAGUCCAAGUCCCAAGUCUCCUCCAAGAUAGAUGGCAAAUUCUACUGUAACCCCCUGUAUAAAUGAAACAAGGUUAAACAUUUCUGAAAUGCAAAGACACAAGACAAACAUUAGCAUCCCGAAAGUUACAAAUAGGGGAAUAUAAAGCAUUGGAAACAAAGCAAGUCCAAUAUCCAGCAGGACAAACACUAAGUCCUAGAGUUCCAUGUGCUCAGCAUCUGAAGCAAUCUGGUUGCAAGCUCUAGAAGGCUUGGAUGAUUUCACCCCCACAGCACUUUUAGAGAUAUCAGCUCCCACAGUUUCUCUCUUAAACCCUCUCUGCUCCCUUCUUGUAGCUUUCCUUGGAUGAUCCACAUUCCUGGCUUUUCCACACUUCUGGAGUCUCCACUGCACCUUUGGCCUCACCUUUGCAUCUUUACAAAUUGCCCUCUCAGGGGCACACUGCUUGGCCUCCCAGACCCUUUGCAAUCGAGGUGGAAGCCAUCUUAUCCUCAGAAUUUGUGCAUUUUCCUUGCACCUAAAAUCAGCACCAUGUGGAUGUCACCAAGGUUUGUUGCCAGCUGGAGCAGUAGCCAGGCUUUUCUUUCCCUUGACUAUAGGGGUUGAUUGCCUGGAUCAUUGGGCUCUGUGAACCUGAUUGUGAAGUAAAGCUUCUCUAUGUUGCCACCAUUCUGGAACCUCAUGUGGCCUCCAUUGCCAUUCUGGAGCAUGGUGCUCUGCAGCUUUCUACUCUGAGCAAAUUCUUUCACUUUUGCAGUUUUGAAGCUGCUUAGCGUGGGGAACCACUGUUUCCUGGGAUUCUCCAGGGUCAUCUUUCUUAUCUCUUUGUUUCUCCUAAGGAAUCAAAGUCUCAACCCUGUCCUUACAAUCUACAGCUUUUCCUGGAGUCUUCCUUCUGGUCAAAUUCUCAGUAUUGUAAAUUACCUGGUGUGGUCUUUGCCCUUGAUUUGCAACAUAAACCUGGCUAACCCCAACAAUAGCCACGCCACAGCCUCAACAUUCAACUGCUUUGAAAUUUCCUUUUCCAGAUUAAUCAGUCCAUUGCCCUUUGUUUCAGUCUCAGGCAAAGUCUCUGGGCAUGAGCAAAAUGCAGACAAACUUUUUGCUAAGCCCUAACACAUCACAGGGAGUCCAAUAACCAAUGCAGUCCUUCUUCCCAGCCGAAACUUCCCAAGCCUGAUCUUUACCAUGAAGCUUUCUAUCAGAGUUCUGAUCUCCUGAGCUCUGACCAGAAUCUCCUCUACAGAACAGUCUAAGCUGCUCCAGAUCUAUGCAUCCAGGCACAUGCCUGAAGCUUUCCAAUAUCUGCCCACAAGCCAUUUCUAAAGCCCCUCAAAAGCAUAGUCAGGUAUAGUCACAGCAACAGUGCCACUCCUCAGUACCAAGUUCUGCCUUAGUUACUUUAACUUGUUCCUGAGACAAAAUACCUGAAGCUAAAGUUGGGAAAGGAAAGGUUUAUUUCUUACAGUUUUGGAGGUUUCAGUCCACACUCAGUUGGCUCCAAUGCAGGGUGGCAUGGCUGGGCCAUAGUUCAUGGUGGCUACAAACAGCAAGGCACAACCUGGGAAAAGAGCAAGACACGCCUUCUUCCUGCCAUUACAUCACCUCCUGGCUCCACCCCUAUGUGGGUGGAGCACUGACACCAUCAGUCCAAGUGCUAGACAAUGACCAAUCACAAAUGCACAAUGCAAACACAUGAGGCCUGGGGGCCACCCACAUAAACCAUGACAAAUGGAUAAGUCCUUGGAAUCAUAAUUACCAAGUUGAAACAAGAAGAUAUAGAAUCUGGGGAACUGGCUAUCAGCAGAGUGAGAUCCUGCUCAACAUCCCAAGACCCAAGAGAGUUUAAGAUCAUCAAUCCCAGUGGUCAAGGCUAUGUCCAGCUUCCAGCCACACUAGACUGGGAUCUGCAGGUUUCAGGCCUGCCUAGGAUAUGCCCAGUGACUAUCUUUCAAUCUGGGUAACGGGGCUGCCAGAGGAGGGAACUGUGCUGCGGGAGUAGGUCAGUACCUACACACCAUCGCAAGCUCCAGGAGAGUUUAAGAUCAUCACACCCAGUGGUCAAGGACUUGCCAAGAUUCCAGCCUCAUUAGACAGGGCUCUGCAGAUUUCAGGCCUGCCUGGGCCACACCCAGUGACCUUUCAAUCCAGGGAACUGUGCUGCUGGCAGGGGUGAGUUCCUGCUCACCAUCCUGAGCCCCUGGAGUGUUUAAGAGCAUCACUCCCAGUGGUCAAGGAUCUGCCCAGCUUCCAGCCACACUACACUAGGCUUGGGAGGUUUUGCAGCCUGAUUAAAUUACACCCAGCGACCUUCUUCAAUCAGGGUAGUUGAAGGCAUGUGAAGUGAGUUCCAACCCAUUGGUCCUCGCCUGGGGAGUGCUUUGGACCAUCAUCCACAGUGGUUAGCUGCUUGUCCAGCUUCCUGGAACACUAGACGUGACAUGGGAGGUCCUGUAGGCCUGACUGGACCACGCUCAGCAACCUCCUUUCAGUCCCAGGAGACGAGGGCAUAGAAGACGAUUUCCAACAUGCCCAGGGGAAGCCUUGGAACAACACUUAGAAUACAGAAAUAGCAAAAGACCAAAAUGCAAUCUCAAACCUGUAGCCCAUCCCAAGAAAGCCUAGGAGCCAUGCACAUAGAAGUAAAUAUAUGUCAUACACCUGAAACACCUGAAAUAAUAGCAACGGAAAUAAAGAAGCAACUCUGGGAAGCUUUAAAGGAAUUCAAACUAGAAUAAUCUCCCAGGUAAAAGAAGAAAUGAUAAAAGUAAUGAAAGAGAUGAUGAAUGAAAGUAAUGAAAAAAUAAUGAAAGAGAUCUAAAGAAGAUACAGUUAAAAAUUAGAGGAACAAAACAAAAGGAUAGAAUCCCUGGGUAAACAAUAUAAGAAACAAAUAGAAUACAUGAAGCAGAUUCAAAGAAAUAUGCAGGAAAUCAAAAAUUCUACUGAGAGUUGUCAAAACUGCCACAAUGAAAGUAAGAUAGAAUUUCAGAACUCAAAGACAAGAUUGCAGUUAGUGAAUAGAAAAGGAAAGAUCUUUUAAAAAUAACAAGGAGUCAGGAAAUAACAAUUUAACAGCUGCAAGAUGAUGCAAAGAAAAAAACAUAAGAUUGAGAGGGAUAAAUGAAAAAGAAAGGGACAACACAAAUGACAUCAAGAGACUAUUUACAGAAGUAAUAGCUGAAAAUUUCCCAAACAUGAGAAUGUCGAAACUGACAUUAGGAUCAGUGAAGCAUAUAGAACUCCAAAUAGCCAUAACCAAAAUAAAACUACAUCCAGACAUAUAAUAGUUACCAUCCUAGAAAUUCAACACAAUGGCAGAAUAUUAAAAUCAGUUAGAGAGAAAAGACAGAUGACCUAUAAGGAAAACAUAUCAGAAUCAUAGCAGACUUCUCAGAACAAUGAAGUCAAGAAGAACAUGGAGUGAAGUAUUUCAGAUCCUAAAGGAAAAUGAUUUCCAUCCUAGACUAAUGUACCCUGCAAAAAUGUCCUUCAAAAUUGAUGGAGAAAUAAGAUACUCCCAUGACAAAGAACAGCUGAAGAACUUCAUGAUCACCAAGCCAACCCUGCAAAGAAUACUAAAAAUCAGUUUAGAUACAAAAGGAACAAAACCAUUAAGCAAGGCAGACAAACAGAAUGGAAAGAUAAAGAUGCAACAGCAGAAAGAUAACAUAUCAACAAUAAACCAAUAUAUAAAAGUUAUAACCAUUUAUGUAAAUGGUCUCAAUGCAUCAAUUAAAAGAAACAGACUGGCAGAAUGGCUUAAGAAACAACAUCUAACCAUAUGUUGUCUACAAAAACCCAUCUAAUACAAAAGGAAACUCACAGACCUAAAGUCAAAGGAUGGAAAGCAAUAGUUCAUGAAACAGGAAUCGAAAAAAAGCAGCAGUAGAUACUCUAUUUGCAGACAAUAUGAACCUCACACCAAGAAUGUUCCUAAGAGAUUAAGAAGGUCACUGCAUACUGGUUAGGGGAAAACUUCAAGAAGAAGAGAUAAUAAUCUUAUAUAUGCACCAAAUUCUAGAGCACCCAGUUAUACAAAGCAAGUAUUAAUAGAAAUGAAAAAUCAAAUUAGCAACAAUACAAUUAUAACAGCAGACCUUAACAUACCAUUGACACCAAGGGACAUAUCAACCAAACAGAAAAUAAGCAAAGAAAUAACAGAACUGAAUUACACCUGUGAACAAAUGAACUUGAUAUACAUAUACAGAGUGUUCCAUCCAAAAUUAGGAAUAUACAUUCUACUCAGCAGUACAUGGGACAUUCUCUAAAACAGACCAUAUACUAGCCACAGAACAUAUUUAAAUAAAUGUAAAGAGUUGAAAUUGUCCCAAGCAUGCUAUCAGAUCAUAGUGCCAUGAAACUAGAAAUUAAUGAUAAAAGAAACUGAAAAAAAAUCCCACAAACACAUGGAAAUUGAAUAAUACACUCUUGAGCAGUCAGUGGCUCACAGGAGAAAUUAAAGAAGAAAUUAAACAAUACCUACAAGCAAACUAAAAUACAAAUACAACUUACCAGAAUCUGUGGGAUGCAAUGAAAGCAGUCCUCAGAAGAAAAUUGAGUACACUGAGUUCCCACAUCAGGAAAUCAGAACAAAUACAAAUCAACAGCCUGAUGCUACAUCUCAAACAUCUAGAAAAAGAAGAGCAAGUCAAGCCCAAUGCCAAAAGAAGGGAGGAAAUUAUAAAAAUCAGACCAGAAAUUAAUGCAAUAGAGACUAAAAAAAUAACCCAGAGAAUCAAUGAAUCAAAGAGCUGGUUCUUUCAAAGAAUAAAUAAAAUUGAUAAGCCCCUAGUCAACCUUAUUUAAAAAAGGAAAGAAACAGCUCAAAGUCAUACAAUAAGGAAUGAAAAAGGUGAAAUCAGUACAGACUCUUUGGAAAUACAGAAGAUCAUCAGCACCUAUUUCAAAACCUCUACUCUCCUAAGUCUGAUAACACAGAAGAGAUGGAAAGAUUCCUAGAAACAUAUGAACUACCAAAGCUGGGUCAAGAAGAUGUAAAACUGCUGAAUAAUCCACAUUCUAUUUAUGAUAUUGAAAAUGUGAUUAAGUCUUUACCUACAAAAAAGAGCCCAGACCCAGAUGGAUUCACUGAGGAAUUCUACAAGAAAUACAAAGAAGACUUACUGCCAGCACUCCUCAAACUCUUCAAUGAAAUGGAAAGGGAACAAUCCUUCCUAAGUCAUUCCUGGAAGCAAAUAUUACUCUAGUACCAAAACCUGAGAAAGACACAACUAAAAAACUACAGGCCAAUCUCUCUAAUGAACACAGAUGCAAAACUCCUCAAUAAAAUAUUAGCAAACAGGAUGCAGCAAAUAAUCAAGAAGAUUAUACACCACGACCAUGUGGAAUUCAUGCCAGGCUAAAGGAUGGUUCAACAUAUGAAAAGCAAUAAGUGUAAUCCACCAUAUCAAUAAAGCCAAAAGUAAAAAUCACAUGACGAUUUGUAUAGAUGCAGAAAAAGCUUUCAAUAAGGUUCAGCACUCAUUCAUGAUAAGAAACUUACAGAAAAUUGGAAUAGUUGGUCUUUACCUCAGUAUGAUGAAGGCCAUCUACAACAAACCAACAGCCAGCAUCAUAUUAAAUGGUCAAAAACUGAAUGCCUUCACCUUAAAAUCAGGCACAAGUAAAGGAUGUCGCUUAUCACCACUCCUAUGCAACAAAGUACUAGAAAUACUAGCAAGAGCAAUUAAGCAAGUGAGAGAAAUAAAAGGGGUAGAGAUAGGAAAAGAGCAAGUUAAGUCAUCAUUAUUUGCAGAUGGCAUGAUAUUCUACAUAGAAGACCCUCAAACUCCAUUGAAAGACUCCUAGAUAUAAUAAAUAAAUUCAGCAAUGUAGCUGGAUACAAAAUCAAUACUCAAAAAUCAAUAACAUUUCAUACACUAACAACAAAAUCACUGAGAUAGAAACAAGAGAAGCCACAACCAUCACACUAGCAUCCAAAAACAUGAAAUACUUAGGAAUUAAUCUCACAAAAGGAGUAAAAGAUCUGUACAGGUAAAAUUAUAAUACUGUGAAAAAGGAAAUUUAAGAGGAUCUCAGAAAAUGGAAAGAUAUCCUUGUUUUUGGAUAAGGAAAAUAAAUACUUUGAAAAUGGCCAUUCUCCCAAAACUGCUAUACAGAUUCAAUGCAAUCCAAUGAAAAUACCAUCAACAUACCUCAUAGAUCUGGAGAAAUCACUCCUCAAAUUUAUCUGGACCCAGAAGAGACCUAGAAUAACAAAGACAAUUCUAAGCAGCAAAGGCAAGGCAGGAGGCAUCACAAUCCCUGACUUGAAGUUAUACUACAAAGCAGCUGUAGUAAAAUCAACAUGGUACUGGAAUAAAAACAGAUCUGAAGGGGUUGGGGGUUUAACUCAGCGGCAUAAGCGCCUGCCUUGAAAGCAGGCAGUCAUGAGUUCGAUCUCUGGUACCAAUAAAAAGGAAAAAGACAAAAAAAAA